UACGGGGGGGGCAAGCGUUGUUCGGAAUUACUGGGCGUAAAGGGCUCGUAGGCGGCCAACUAAGUCAGACGUGAAAUCCCUCGGCUUAACCGGGGAACUGCGUCUGAUACUGGAUGGCUUGAGGUUGGGAGAGGGAUGCGGAAUUCCCGGUGUAGCGGUGAAAUGCGCAGAUAUCGGGAAGAACACCCGUGGCGAAGGCGGCUCUCUGGGACAACACUGACGCUGAAGCACGAAAGCGUGGGGAGCAAACAGG
Molecule: ribosomal RNA, 253 nt
Filed under: uncultured bacterium
Lineage: Bacteria
Description: partial 16S ribosomal RNA
Rfam family: Bacterial small subunit ribosomal RNA
Source: RNAcentral